AAAGGAAUAGACGGGGGCCCGCACAAGCGGUGGAGCAUGUGGUUUAAUUCGAUGCAACGCGAAGAACCUUACCUACUCUUGACAUCCAGAGAAUUUGCUAGAGAUAGCUUAGUGCCUUCGGGAACUCUGAGACAGGUGCUGCAUGGCUGUCGUCAGCUCGUGUUGUGAAAUGUUGGGUUAAGUCCCGUAACGAGCGCAACCCCUAUCCUUAUUUGCCAGCGAGUUAAGUCGGGAACUCUAAGGAGACUGCCGGUGACAAACCGGAGGAAGGUGGGGAUGACGUCAAGUCAUCAUGGCCCUUACGAGUAGGGCUACACACGUGCUACAAUGGUCGGUACAGCAGGUUGCUAACCCGCGAGGGGGCGCUAAUCCGUCAAAACCGAUCGUAGUCCGGAUCGCAGUCUGCAACUCGACUGCGUGAAGUCGGAAUCGCUAGUAAUCGCGGAUCAGAAUGCCGCGGUGAAUACGUUCCCGGGCCUUGUACACACCGCCCGU
This 495-nucleotide ribosomal RNA is filed under the name uncultured bacterium. RNAcentral's name for it is "bacterial SSU rRNA". It matches the Rfam family "Bacterial small subunit ribosomal RNA", at positions 903 to 1397 of the family's 1533-position model. The record is from RNAcentral.